AUGAACGCUGGCGGCGUGCCUAAUACAUGCAAGUCGAGCGAACGGACGAGAAGCUUGCUUUUCUGAUGUUAGCGGCGGACGGGUGAGUAACACGUGGAUAACCUACCUAUAAGACUGGGAUAACUUCGGGAAACCGGAGCUAAUACCGGAUAAUAUUUUGAACCGCAUGGUUCAAAAGUGAAAGACGGUCUUGCUGUCACUUAUAGAUGGAUCCGCGCUGCAUUAGCUAGUUGGUAAGGUAACGGCUUACCAAGGCAACGAUGCAUAGCCGACCUGAGAGGGUGACCGGCCACACUGGAACUGAGACACGGUCCAGACUCCUACGGGAGGCAGCAGUAGGGAAUCUUCCGCAAUGGGCGAAAGCCUGACGGGGCAACGCCGCGUGAGUGAUGAAGGUCUUCGGAUCGUAAAACUCUGUUAUUAGGGAAGAACAUAUGUGUAAGUAACUGUGCACAUCUUGACGGUACCUAAUCAGAAAGCCACGGCUAACUACGUG
RNAcentral lists this ribosomal RNA (496 nucleotides) under uncultured bacterium. RNAcentral describes it as "partial 16S ribosomal RNA". It matches the Rfam family "Bacterial small subunit ribosomal RNA", at positions 29 to 507 of the family's 1533-position model. The record is from RNAcentral.